This 1362-nucleotide ribosomal RNA is filed under the name Pentatomidae sp. GM-2014. RNAcentral's name for it is "16S ribosomal RNA". The stretch from base 1057 to 1216 matches the Rfam family "Archaeal large subunit ribosomal RNA", at positions 2542 to 2701 of the family's 2987-position model. Lineage: Eukaryota; Metazoa; Arthropoda; Insecta; Hemiptera; Pentatomidae. The record is from RNAcentral.
CAAUUCAAAUUAGUUUGAUUUUGAUUUUUUAUAAUUUAAUUUUGAUUUUUUAUGGUUUGAUUCAUUUAAUAGAAUUAACUUUGUUUUCAGUAAUUUUUAUAGAAGAAAUUUAUUUAUAGUUAUAGUUUAUUUGUACUGUAAAGGUGUUAAAUUUAUUAUUAUAGAAGUAAAUUUUAAUUUUUGUACCUUUUGUAUCAGGGUUUAUUAAUUUUAAAUUUAGAUUAAAAAUUUCCCGAAUUAAAAUGAGUUAUCUAAUAUUGAUGUUUUAUGUUUUAUAAUUAUCAUGAAAUUUUUAGAUAGUUGAUAUAUUCUAGGCGUUUUUUAAUAUCUGGUUUUUUAAUAAUUGAAUUUAAUUCAGGAUUAAUUUUGAUUUAUAUGGAAAUUUUAUUUCAUAUAUUAUGAAUUAAUUUAACAUUAAAGGGGAUAAGCUCUUUUAUGUGUUUAUAACUUAUAAGUACUAUAAAGUUUUGUAGGAUUAGAAAUUUUCUUCAUUUAUUUUGUUAUAAUAAUGUUUUAAUAUUAUUUUAUUUAUUUAGGUUUAAUUUUUUAUUAAAAAUUAUUUAUUUAUUAUCUAUUUAUUAGAUAUAAUGAUAAAAUUAGUAUAUUUUUAAAUUAAUAUAUAGUAACUCGGCAAAUUUAUUUUUCACCUGUUUAUCAAAAACAUGUCUUAUUGAAUAUUUUUAUUAAGUCUGACCUGCUCAAUGAUUUAUUAUAAUUUAAUAGCCGCAGUAUAUUGACUGUGCGAAGGUAGCAUAAUCAUUUGUCUUUUAAUUGAAGGCUUGUAUGAAUGGUUUGAUGAGAAAGUUACUUUCUUUGUAUUAAGUAUUGAAUUUAAUUUUUUAGUUAAAAAGCUUAAAUAUUAAAAUGGGACGAGAAGACCCUAUAGAAUUUUAUCUAUUUUUGAAUUAUUUUAUUUUAGUAAUAUAUAUUUAUUAAUUUAAUAUUAGAUUUUGUUGGGGUGACAGUAAGAUUUUAUUAACUCUUAUAUUUUAAUUUUUAUUAAUGAUUAUUUUUAAGAUCCUGUAUUAAUGGAUAUUUAGAUUAAAUUACCUUAGGGAUAACAGCGUAAUUUCUUUUUAGAGCUCUUAUCGAUGAAGAAGUUUGCGACCUCGAUGUUGGAUUAAAAUAAGAUUUAAGUGUAGAAGCUUAAUUUUCUAGGUCUGUUCGACCUUUAAAGUUUUACAUGAUCUGAGUUCAGACCGGCGUGAGCCAGGUCGGUUUCUAUCUUUUUUUUAUUAAUUUAAAAUAGUACGAAAGGACCUUUUAGAUCAAAUAAUUAUGUUAAUUUAUAUGAAUAAUUUUAACUAUUUUGGCAGAUUAGUGCAGUAAAUUUAGAAUUUAUUUAUGUAAAAUUUUUACAGA